CAGCUGCUCUGUGGACUCCCAUGUGGGCAGAGCUGGGCUUUGCCUGGCUGUUGUCGAGCUGAGGGAAUCAUAGGGGUCGGUGGCAGGAGCCAUAGGUCCUAGGAAUGCAUGGCUGGGCAGCCUCUUGUAAUGGAAUGGGGUGAUGGUGGAGUCUGGAGCCCACUGUGCCAUGGGCCUUGGAUGCUGGCCCUGCUUCUUCUGGACACUGAGUUUGGGUCCUUACUGAUAUGGGUUCAACUUUGUGGGUUCAUCCACAAGUAUUAAUCCAGAGUUGUGUGUCCAGCACAGUGCUAGAAGCACAGAAGUGUGAGAGGGGACCUUCAUUAUUGUCUCUUUGAGGUGUAAGACUAGUGCAUGUCAAAACACUCACUUAUUUGUAGGUGAAUACUUAUCUGCCCAGUAACUGUUCAGGGUAGCAAAUUAUUGAGUCCUAAAUUGUCUUGACGGAAAUAUUGUUAGAGACCUGAAAAGAGAGGGAGCCCUGGGAUGGUCAGAGCUUGGCUCUGAAUGAUAGAAAUAUGGGCAAGGUGGGGACAAUGGGGAUAGAAGAACAGCAUGAACAAAGGCAGGGAGAAUGGGUGGGCGUCCUCCUAAGUGCAGAUGACAGUGGAGCCCCUUCUCCCCUUCCCACUUCCUGAAAUAGUCCUAAAGACUCUUACUCCUUGGACAACACAGAACCAGCUCCUGGGUUCCUCCUCUUCUCCUUUUUAUUGUUAUGAUGCCAGAGAUUCCUAACGUUCAUUGAUCACUUGCUGCGCACGACUGUUCUUUGUGCUUUACAUGGACUUUCUCGUGACGCCUUCACAACCACCAACUGAGAUAACUGCUCUGUGUUAGUGGGUGCAUUUUAGAGUCAGUACAGUGAGGUCAGAAAGCUACAUAACUUGGUUGUGGUGACAGUAAGGAAAUGGUGGUUGUAUCCCGAGUGCACAUGGCAUGUCCUACAAGUAGAACUCCAAGUAAGCAGAGGCCCAUACUCAACCCACUUGUUCCCAAAUGUGUGUUCACAGUAGAAUCACUUGGGGAUCUUUUAAAAUUGACAUGGUUCAGGCCAGUUACAUUGUAGUCUUUGGCAGGGCGUGGGGGGCACAUGAGAUCAGUGUUUUGGAAGCUUUCCUGGGUAAUUCCAGGUUAAGACAUAAGAGGUAAAGAGCUGGUUCCUCUUAACCUCUUAUUUUUUGGGGCCUCUGAAUAUUUUACUGAAUACUUUCUAUUCUCAGAGCACUGUAGAGGGCCCUUUCUCCAGCCUUGUCCUGAGGCUGCCACUCUGCCACAUGGUAUCUGAGGGAGCAGGACCCCUCCCACCCCACAGCAUCACUGACUUCUAGACAGUGAAUCCUGGGUGCAGAGGAGUGGGCAGAGAAGGGUGGUCUUCCAGUAUCGGUGGCCACUUUUCCUUCUGAAUGCCAUCUUGGGGGUAGAGCCUGCUUUCAGAGCCCAGGAGACCUCCGACUGUGCUUUCUCAUGUCUUAUGCUCUCCUGGGCCCUUGACUUCAGUGGAGAAGGGAGAGGGUCACACGAGGGCAGAUCUCUUCUUGACAAGUCCCGUUCCUCUCCGUCUGUCCCCAGCUGAACCUGAAAUGGACACGAAGAGCAGCGUCGUUUGGGUGGCUGGGAACAGCACUAAAUUUAGCAAAACUGUAGCUGGUGGGGGGCCGGCCUGGAGUGAGCCAAACCCAGCCCCGAGUAGACUAGAUUUAUAGUCAGCAACGCAGUCAGUGUUGUCUCUGCUUGGGCAAGUUCAAGAUUACACAGGAUCUUUCAGUUUCCAAAGCCCGGAAGCUUGUCAGCCUGUCCUGCAGGCCUCCCUGGCCCUGCGCCUGCCUCUUGGAGACGUGGCUCUGCGCACACCACUGAUGAUGCCCACUGGGUUCUGGGUUUCCAUCUGUCCAUCUGUGCCUCCCUUGUAUAUAUUGGAUCUCACUUCAUCUUGGUCUGCAGAUUCAUGCCUUUUGGCCUGUAUUGCUAGCCUUG
RNAcentral lists this long non-coding RNA (1974 nucleotides) under Marmota monax (woodchuck). The record is from RNAcentral. Lineage: Eukaryota; Metazoa; Chordata; Mammalia; Rodentia; Sciuridae.